CCUACGGGCGGCUGCAGUGGGGAAUAUUGGACAAUGGGGGCAACCCUGAUCCAGCCAUGCCGCGUGUGUGAAGAAGGCCCUCGGGUUGUAAAGCACUUUCAGUGAGGAAGAACGCCUGGUGGUUAAUACCCAUCAGGAAAGACAUCACUCACAGAAGAAGCACCGGCUAACUCCGUGCCAGCAGCCGCGGUAAUACGGAGGGUGCGAGCGUUAAUCGGAAUUACUGGGCGUAAAGCGCGCGUAGGUGGCUUGAUAAGCCGGUUGUGAAAGCCCCGGGCUCAACCUGGGAACGGCAUCCGGAACUGUCAAGCUAGAGCGCAGGCGAGGAAGGUAGAAUUCCCGGUGUAGCGGUGAAAUGCGUAGAGAUCGGGAGGAAUACCAGUGGCGAAGGCGGCCUUCUGGACUGACACUGACACUGAGGUGCGAAAGCGUGGGUAGCAAACAGGAUUAGAUACCCCAGUAGUC
This 465-nucleotide ribosomal RNA is filed under the name Vreelandella stevensii. RNAcentral describes it as "partial 16S ribosomal RNA". It matches the Rfam family "Bacterial small subunit ribosomal RNA", at positions 338 to 795 of the family's 1533-position model. Lineage: Bacteria; Pseudomonadati; Pseudomonadota; Gammaproteobacteria; Oceanospirillales; Halomonadaceae. The record is from RNAcentral.